GUAGGGAAUAUUGGGCAAUGGAUGCAAGUCUGACCCAGCCAUCCCGCGUGCCGGAAGAAGGCCCUCAGGGUUGUAAACGGCUUUUGACGGUGAAGAAUCGACAGGAUGCGUCCUGUUUUGACGGUAGCCGUUGAAUAAGCACCGGCUAACUCCGUGCCAGCAGCCGCGGUAAUACGGAGGGUGCGAGCGUUGUCCGGAUUUAUUGGGUUUAAAGGGUGCGUAGGCUGGGAGGUAAGUCAGCGGUGAAAGCACACGCUUAACGGGUGUCUUGCCGCAGAUACUACUUUUCUUGGAUGAGGAGGAGGUCACUGGAACGGAUGGUGUAGCGGUGAAAUGCAUAGAUAUCAUCCAGAACACCGAUUGCGAAGGCAGGUGACUGUACCUUAAUCGACGCUGAGGCACGAAAGCGUGGGGAGCGAACAGGAUUAGAUACCCCGGUAGUCC
RNAcentral lists this ribosomal RNA (444 nucleotides) under uncultured bacterium. RNAcentral's name for it is "partial 16S ribosomal RNA". It matches the Rfam family "Bacterial small subunit ribosomal RNA", at positions 354 to 796 of the family's 1533-position model. The record is from RNAcentral.